GCCUGUGUGGUGUAGUGGCUUGAGUGUUCGAUUGGGAUUCUGGAGACCAGAGUUCGAAUCCCCACUAAGCCA
Molecule: non-coding RNA, 72 nt
Organism: Phrynosoma platyrhinos (Desert horned lizard)
Lineage: Eukaryota; Metazoa; Chordata; Lepidosauria; Squamata; Phrynosomatidae
Source: the annotation of a GenBank genome assembly